This 450-nucleotide ribosomal RNA is filed under the name uncultured bacterium. RNAcentral's name for it is "bacterial SSU rRNA". It matches the Rfam family "Bacterial small subunit ribosomal RNA", at positions 29 to 524 of the family's 1533-position model. The record is from RNAcentral.
AGCGAACGCUGGCGGCAGGCCUAAAACAUGCAAGUCGAACGCCGUAGCAAUACGGAGUGGCAGACGGGUGAGUAACACGUGGGAACGUACCCUUUGGUUCGGAACAACACAGGGAAACUUGUGCUAAUACCGGAUAAGCCCUUACGGGGAAAGAUUUAUCGCCGAAGGAUCGGCCCGCGUCUGAUUAGCUAGUUGGUGAGGUAACGGCUCACCAAGGCGACGAUCAGUAGCUGGUCUGAGAGGAUGAUCAGCCACACUGGGACUGAGACACGGCCCAGACUCCUACGGGAGGCAGCAGUUAGGAAUCUUGGACAAUGGGCGCAAGCCUGAUCCAGCCAUGCCGCGUGAGUGAUGAAGGCCUUAGGGUUGUAAAGCUCUUUCAGCGGGGAAGAUAAUGACGGUACCCGCAGAAGAAGCCCCGGCUAACUUCGUGCCAGCAGCCGCGGUAAU